UGAUAAUGAUUAUUUUUUAAGGGGCCGCAGUAUUUUGACUGUGCAAAGGUAGCAUAAUCACUAGGUUUUUAAUUUGAGAAUCUUGUAUGAAUGAUUGGACAAGAGAAAUACUGUCUUUAUAUUAAAAAUUGAAUUUAACUUUUAAGUGAAAAGGCUUAAAUAUACUAGAGGGACGAUAAGACCCUAUAAAACUUUACAUUGAUGUUAAAUUUUAUAGAAUUUAAAAUUAUAAUAAUUAAAUUCAAUUUUUUUGUUAUGUUGGGGAGACAAAAGCUAUAAUUAUAUGUAACUGCUUUUAAAGAAAACAAUAAUAGGUGGGAAAAUUAAUAGAUCCUUUAUAAGGAUUAUAAGAUUAAGUUACUUUAGGGAUAACAGCGUUAUUUUUUUCGAGAGUUCAUAUCGAAAAAAAAGAUUGCGACCUCGAUGUUGAAUUAAAAUAUCUUUAUAAUGUAGGUGUUAUAGAAGAAGGUCUGUUCGACCUUUAAUUUUUUACAUGAUUUGAGUUCAGACCGGUGAGAGCCAGU
This 524-nucleotide ribosomal RNA is filed under the name Potamonautes sp. Inji1a. Its description in RNAcentral is "partial 16S ribosomal RNA". It matches the Rfam family "Archaeal large subunit ribosomal RNA", at positions 1984 to 2699 of the family's 2987-position model. Lineage: Eukaryota; Metazoa; Arthropoda; Malacostraca; Decapoda; Potamonautidae. The record is from RNAcentral.